CUUGGCCGCCUCCGGGGAAUAGGGCUCCAGGGUUCCGCAGGCCGUCGCGUAGCGAGCAAUCCGAGAGCCAGGGAGCGGAGCGGGGUGCAGGGUACGUCUGGGAAUCCUGGAAUCUGGAAUGACAGCAUGAUGAGGAGCUCUCUGGAUCUUUGGAACCAUCGAGGUUAUGAGCUACACUCCCUUCACCAGUUGCCAAGCUCCCUGACAAGAGAGUACAUUAAGGACCUCCUCUUCACCAUGUGACUGGAGCAUUACUAGAACUUCAUUCUUGGAGGGAAGGUGCCAAGUUUGCUUUCACACCCCCUCGAACCACUCCCAGGCAGAAUAAAAAGCAACUCUCAUGAGAACCUGAGAAGGAAGUUCGAGAACAUUGUUCCUGAGCUCUAAUGUCCUGGAUGGAGAAGAGAAUGUUUUGAAAUCUCUAGGAUUCAUGAUCUUGUAAUCUAUUCUUCUAGCCUGAGAAGGGGAGAUCUCUUGGGCAAUAUCAGCUUUCCAAAGUGCUUCAUGGGAAAACCCAAGUGCAAGAUGUCUUGAGUGUGAGAAGUCCAGCCUUGGCCUUCUGGAAAGAGAUCGAUUUCAACUGGAAUGCCAACAUGCCUCUGCCACUGAAGUCCUUGGUUGGGGAGAUCCAAGGAGAUCUGGACCUUGCCAUAUUUCCUUGUUAUUGCUGUUAAGGCUUUGCUAAUAAAUGUCUAA
Molecule: long non-coding RNA, 696 nt
Organism: Monodelphis domestica (gray short-tailed opossum)
Lineage: Eukaryota; Metazoa; Chordata; Mammalia; Didelphimorphia; Didelphidae
Source: RefSeq, a predicted model, not a curated record